GACCACAUAGCUCAACUGGCAGAGCAUUGGACUAGUAUCCCAAAGGUCGAGGGUUCGAUUCCCACCGUGGCCA
Non-coding RNA from Paramuricea clavata, 73 nucleotides. The record is from the annotation of a GenBank genome assembly. Lineage: Eukaryota; Metazoa; Cnidaria; Anthozoa; Malacalcyonacea; Plexauridae.